GGAAUAUGCACAAAUGUUGCUGCCUAUAUUCGAUACAGUGGCGAAUGCUUUUAAGAUGAAUCGCUUGGUGUAUUCCUCAUUUUCUGUAUUGCCUAUAUGAGACCUCUGUCAGUGUGGUUGUCGAGGGCUUUCUGCAGCAUCAUGCAGUCUCCUGAGAUGACUUUGAUGAAAUGACCUGCCCUGACCCACCCAAUGCUGGCAUGGUGUAUCCUGAUCAAAGGUACUGGAUGAAUAACUUGUUCCCUUGUAAGAAUGGGCUUGACGUUUUCUCCUUUUCUAAUCAGUGAGCUCAAAUGUCUCUGAAAUUGAAAUUAGACUGCAUGCAUUCACCAGUCUUUCCUCUGAGGGCCUGUGAGAGCCCGUUGGAUCUGGCCAUGAUUUCACCUUGAUUUUGGUUUCAUGUUGUUUGUAUAUGUGAGUGCCAUGUAAGUACAAAUUCCCUCUUAAUGCUCUUGAUUCCACUUUUAAGAAUGUCUUGUAAUUAUAAAGGUAGGAGGUGUACAAACGUUUUCCACUUUCUUGAUUUCUGUGGAGCGUCCUUAAUAUUAGAUUUCCUUUUCUGUAAGUAUUUAUGAAAUAUACAAAUAAUUGAGAUCAGUAUAUGUAGCAUGUGAAUAAAAUGUAUCUGUUUAGCACAUUUAAAAGGUAAUUUUGAAGCAGUGCUACACUUUUCACAUUGGUAAAAUUAUACACGUGACAUCAGCAAACUCAAACACUCUAGUUAUAUAUUAAUUUUGGUUUGAAACUUUGUCCACCUGUUGUCAUUAAAUCAUACUAUGUUUUUAAGGACAAGUUAUAUGAAUGUGUAAACAAAAUUCUGCAACUUUAAAUAAGAUACUGUACAUUUGUCAACAAUAGUGACAAAAAAAAAAACUUUAAUGAAUUGUCAGAUAGCCUAUGCUAUAACAACAACAUUUAAUGUCUUAAGUAUAUGGAAAAAUAGAUUAUAAGUUAUAUGUUAAAUACUGAAAAUACAUAUAUUUUUUAGUUUAUAGUGUUUACUUCAGUCUAAUCCAAAACUCUAGAUAUAGGAUACAGCAAGAUACAUUUGACUUAUUAACGCCAGAGGGCGCUCUUUAAUCGCUUUUGGGUCUUUAGGGUACAUUUAUACAUUUUUUUUAUUUUUAUUAUUGUUAUUUUUUUUAAUCUUAAAGUGCCAUUAAUAACAGUCAUGCCCUGUCUGGAUGUUCUCGAAAUGUAUAGAGUAUAGGCCAAAACUGUGUCCUACAGAUUUUUCUUCUUAACCAGUUCAGGAGAAAUGAAAAACUUGUAAGUAAAAUAAUUGUUCAACUUUAUAUAUAUCACAGCAAUAUGUUUGUAAACCAAUAAGAAACAUAUACAACGUAAGACCCCUACAUUCUAUAGACAUUGAGAAUAUAGUACACAAAUGUCAGAAUAUUCCAUUCCAAACAAUAGACUGUAAGCUGGCCUCUUCCAGCACACAUGGCACACAUUUCUGUACUCUUCCGUGUCUUCUUACAAACGCAGAAGGUACAUGUAACCACGUGAGCAGUUUCCAAGGGCUUUAAACUCUGACCUUUUGUAGAGUUAUAAAUGUACAAUGAGAAUUUAAAUAUCAAAUAUUGUUUUCAAGCUUUAAAGUCUUUUUCAUAGGAUCAGUUUUAAGACCUUGCUCACUCUAUACUCAUUUUAGACUGAUUAUUACCAUAACAAAAUGUAUUGUCACAUCUCCUGUGAGCCAUGACAUGACAUCAGAGCAGCUCCUCAAGCUGCUUUAUUAUGACACACACAGACAGAUUAUCAGCAGCAUUAGACAGAGCUGGAUAAAGAUCACCUACAAAAAAAAAAAAAAUGAAAACAACACGUCAUUUAAACCAUCUGUGAUUUAUACUCAUCCUUUAAGGAACAGAUGCAAAACAUUUUGCAAUAAGUGACCUUUGCUCAGUUCCACUCAGUGUUUGACACCCACUGUGACAACAAACCCUUCUCUUUGUCACUGUGCUUUUUGAGGGAAAAAUACACAUUUAUGCAAGGACAGAUACUAUUUAAUUAUGUGAGUUCAUUUAUAUUUAGACUUUAAUUUGAAAAUAACUUACUGCAUGUAUGUCUACAAAUGAAAAGAGUUUUUUUUUUUUUUUUUGAAGAAAAUAUUAGGUAUACCAAACUGCUAGGGUGGAUGCCAGGCAAUGCUUUGUGGUUUUGUAUCGUUGCUAGGAUGUUUUGGCUAGUUGUUUACUGGCCCCAGUCAAAAGAGCCCACUCUCUGAUAUUUUGAUCCCUAGAUAUUGCUUGGCUCCCCUCCUUUCAUGUAACUCUGUGAGUUUGUUUGUUUGUUUGUUUGUUUAUUUGCUUGUUUAAUUAACUGUCUGAUUGCUUAGAAAAACAGUAACACAUCUCUCCUCAACCUACUGCAAAACUCGAAGACAAACCGUACAGGAUGAGUUACACUCUUUAAAGUUUAAGGGUUAAAGAAUUGAUCAUAUCACUAACCAUAAGUAACCAUGAUCAAGAGUAAUUAGCAAACAGAAAGUGUUUGUUUGUUUGUUUGUUUGUUUGUUUAUGCUGAUGAGAGAAAAUUUAUUUUGAGCUCUUGUCAGUGAUGGGUGGUUGGAAGUGGCUUUCACUACCCCUUCCCCCAAAAACUAAUGAACAACAACAAGCAGGCCUUCCUUUCUUCACAGGCACAAAAGAUCAGUCUGGGCACUGAAGAGAGCAUAUGCCACUGAAAUCAGCCGGAUUUAAUUGGUAAACAACAUUUAACCGCAGUCCCCAUGACCAUAUCAUAAGUUUUUCAGCGUCUUUAUGCUGCAUGCGUUUUUAUCCCAAAUAUUUUUUUUAAUUGAUUUUACAGACAGUUGGUCACCUAAAAGCUACAUUUGGCUCUGUAUAAAGGUUUAAUAUUAUAUUUAUAGCAUUUAUAUUUUGCUCAGAACACAAAGAUGCAUCGAUGAAGCCUAAAUAUUAUAAUUUUGGAGUAUAAUUAUAGUUGUGUUGUUCAGCCCCACCAAACGCUGGCGUGAUGUAUCCUGAUCAUCAAGGAGAAGGUACUGGAUGAAUAUUCUGAAUAAUAGCAGAAUCCACGGUCUAACUUGUGAUGCAGCCUGGAACUAAACCACACCAUGCUGGUUCGUCUGGCCAGUCCCUGACUGAGCCUGGUUUCUCCCAAGGUUUUUUAUUCCCUUUCUGUCACCGAUGGAGUUUGGGUUCCUUCACCUUUGGCAGCAAUAUUAUUGAUUUGAUUACACAUACACUACUGGAUGAGAACUGAGCUGGAUGAUGACUGUUUACUAUUGUCCUCUUUUUAGAGCUGCUUUAUGGCAGAAUUGAAUUUUGUUUGCCUCUCUGAAACAUUAUUUUCCUGUUUAAGUCUGAAAAGCUGCUUUGACACAAUCUGUAUUGUUUAAAGUGCUAUAAAAAUAAAGGUGA
This is a long non-coding RNA of Onychostoma macrolepis, 3386 nucleotides long. RefSeq lists it as uncharacterized. The transcript is spliced from 3 exons. NCBI's taxonomy places the organism in Eukaryota, Metazoa, Chordata, Actinopteri, Cypriniformes, Cyprinidae. The record is from RefSeq and is a predicted model, not a curated record.